GCGCCUUAAUUGUUUGCGUGGCCGAGGCGGGGCCUCGGCCGAAUUGCCUUAAUGUUCCCCCGACUAACCCCCCUGGGUUUAGCCCGGGCGGGCGUCGGGGGAGAAAACCCCACGCCGCCGAAACGCGCGGAGUCCGGGGUGGUCCCGCCCCCGAGGGCGGCCUGCGGCCGCUCUC
Molecule: non-coding RNA, 175 nt
Filed under: Thermoproteus tenax
Lineage: Archaea; Thermoproteati; Thermoproteota; Thermoprotei; Thermoproteales; Thermoproteaceae
Source: RNAcentral